Molecule: ribosomal RNA, 484 nt
Filed under: uncultured bacterium
Lineage: Bacteria
Description: partial 16S ribosomal RNA
Rfam family: Bacterial small subunit ribosomal RNA
Source: RNAcentral
AUUGAACGCUGGCGGCAUGCUUUACACAUGCAAGUCGAACGGCAGCGCGGGCUUCGGCCUGGCGGCGAGUGGCGAACGGGUGAGUAAUACAUCGGAACGUGCCCAGUAGUGGGGGAUAGCUCGGCGAAAGCCGGAUUAAUACCGCAUACGACCUGAGGGUGAAAGCGGGGGAUCUUCGGACCUCGCGCUAUUUGAGCGGCCGAUGGCAGAUUAGCUAGUUGGUGGGGUAAAGGCCUACCAAGGCGACGAUCUGUAGCUGGUCUGAGAGGACGACCAGCCACACUGGGACUGAGCCACGGCCCAGACUCCUACGGGAGGCAGCAGUGGGGAAUUUUGGACAAUGGGCGAAAGCCUGAUCCAGCAAUGCCGCGUGUGUGAUGAAGGCCUUCGGGUUGUAAAGCACUUUUGGCGGGAACGAAAAGGACUGUGCCAAUACCACGGUUCGAUGACGGUACCCGCAGAAUAAGCACCGGCUAACUACGUG